Non-coding RNA from Coturnix japonica (Japanese quail), 2303 nucleotides. The record is from RefSeq and is a predicted model, not a curated record. NCBI's taxonomy places the organism in Eukaryota, Metazoa, Chordata, Aves, Galliformes, Phasianidae.
CACUAAGGCAGCAUCUCUUGGAGACUGCUCCUCAGUGUAGAGUGCCUUAGUGGUUCCCAGCAGACCAAAAGCUUCCAUUGGGAGAACAAUUCUUCUUUGAAAAGGUGUUUAAGAAUUCUGCCGUGGAGAACUUCAAACUUGAACUAUACAACUGCACUAGAAGAAAGCUGAAGGGAAGGCUUGGAGUACAAGCUCCCAUUUACCUGAUGAUAAAUACUGGAGCAUGAUCCUGCAGCCCCAUUUACAACAAAUUCUGUCUGACUGUAUUUGGCAUCGUAAGGCCUUUGGGGUCAAGAUGCUCAGUUUCUAGUUUUGCCUUUUGGGUCUCAGAAGUAUGGAAGCAUUUCAAACCUUGUGCUUCAAAAAGAAUUUAGGAAAUGCACAAGAGAGCCAACUUUUAAAUGAACUGGAAAGAUUUUAUGAGGACAGAAGAUCAACAAGUGACCAGGACUCCAACUGUGAAAGAAAAUGUGAGAAACAGGCACCUCUUCUACUGUGAAAUUGGUCUAAUUCUUGGGGCCUUUAGAGUGGCAGUAUCAAACAACUGGCCAAUAUCGUGUACACUUUCUGCCAUCCACAUGGCAUCAACUCCAUUACCACAUUCUGUGAAGCACUCAAAUUUGCCACAGGUUUAUUUAACCCUUCAUUUGAAAGUGGAGGUGGAAAUUUCUUUCCUCACUGGAAGCUGAAUGUGCUUUUUCUAACACACCUGGGAAGCCAGCCUCAGCCCAUGACUCCAUCCUACACAGAAAUAGCUCUUUAAAAAAAACAAAACAAAACACCUAUACAGCUAGGAGCCAUAUGAACUCAGUAUGCAGAGGUAGCUGAUGGGGUGCAACCCCCUUUUAGUAGACUGCAGGGUAGGCAUGUGGUGUGUUACCCCCCACCCUACAGCUGCAAUGCUGGCAUGCUAUUUAUUUAAACAUGACAAGUAUUUGUGGGGUUUAAUUUACAACAUCUGAUCGUUUUGACGAUUUGGGAGAAUUCUAUGUAUCAUUAAUGAAACAAACUAGAGCUUUGGUAAAUGUAGUCAUGACCUAUGCUUCACAGACCUGAUAUGUCUUUGCCUCCUGCCCUUCUCUGUCACUUGAAGGAAUGAGUGUCAGUGGGUCUGGUUGACAGUUCUGCUUUAGUUUUUAUUCUGUGCUUGUGUUGCCAGGACUUAAAUCUACUACUGCAAGACUCUAUGGUAGGAAAAAAAUGCAGUGUGCAGAAUAGCUCUUCCUUGUUCCUUGGGAAGCAACUCUUGCUAGCCUAGCCACCCCUCCUGUUUAUUGACAGCAUGCAGGAGUAGCUUUUUAACGAAUGUACGUGCUCUUGUGUGAUUGUGUCUUUCUGGAGGGCAAGUCAGGUAAAACUGCUUUUUACUAAAAGUGCAAACACAAAGAAUUGUGAGAUUCCUUAAACAUGGGAUCUGAUUCCUUACAGUCACAAAUUCAUAACAGAUCCUGGUUCACAAUGCUGUAUUGAUCAUCUUUCCAAAGGAAGGAAUCUCCACAACGACAUUAUUGAAGAAAGGAGGAACAUUUUGUUGAGGAGCUGUAUUUCAAGCAAAAUAACCCUCCAAGGAGCAUUCACUUUCAAAUCAGUAACGUGCAAGUGUAGCUAACUCACAAAACAGCAGCCAGUUACAUGCGCAGAUUUCAAUGAGGCUUUUACAAGAAACAAUGGGUCUGUUUUUAAGGGCGGUUGCCCUGUUGAAGUGCAUUUCUCUGAAUGGAUACAAUGCUGUAGUGCUGAAUGGAUUCAAUGGUUCUGUCUCAAACAUGUCCAGGAGUGUCUAGAAGUGGGUGGAGGUAGAAAGAGCUGGUGAGACCCUUCUGGUGGUUGACUCGGGCUGCCUCUUCCAAUCCUUUCUUUGCUCUCACUGGGGCCGCGGUUUCCUUUUCCUCUGCAACAAGCUUCCUUCUCUGCAUGAAUUUUCCCUGUCUGGAUAUAAUAGACUGAAUUUUGCAAAAGUGGACUUAAAGAAUUCAGGCAUAACUUUGCCUGAAUGAGAUGUCUGAGUAGCAGAGGAAUCUCUUAGGAGAAGUCAGUAAUGCCUUGGUUGUCAGGUGCCUUGGCUAUUUGAAACUGGGAAGGAAAAAUACAUGCACAGAUAGAAUAUAACGUAGGAAUCAAUCCUGCCUUGGCCUCUGUAAGGAAAACAAGUGACCUUAAUGAUCUAUUCUCUCUCUAGAGCACUCACAGAGAAAGCCGUGCUCGUUCCAAUUCAGCUGUGUGCCCAGCACACAGCACAAUGGAUCUCACUCCUCGGGAAGCUCUAAGUACCACUGCAAUACAAAUAAACAAGUUCUGCACAA